CCGUCUCUUCAGCAGCAGAGAAACACAUGUAGACUACUACAGCCCCUAAACCGUCUCUUCAGCAGCAGAGAAACACAUGUAGACUACUACAGCCCCUAAACCGUCUCUUCAGCAGCAGAGAAACACAUGUAGACUACUACAGCCCCUAAACCGUCUCUUCCUCACACUGGUUUUACACUGACACUUGAGGUAAAAGCCCCUUUAACACGUUCAUAACAUCCUUGUUGACUUGCUGCCUGGCGCCACGCCUGGGUCGUGUUCAUUAGGGCACAUACGUUUCAAAAACAUUGUGCAACACAAAAAGGCAAAUAGUACUCCCUGUUUCUGUCCAUUUUGGUGCAUUAUGAACAGGACAUCGCUUCAAAAAGGCUUUUGGGGAAAAGUGUUUCAUAUCAAAUCAGCCUACUAGCUUUAUAAAAGGUUAGACAGGUUAUCCUCUCUCAUUUGAUACAACCAGAGAGAGAGAGAGAGGACUUCUCCCACUACUCUACCAUUUAGAGAGAGAGAGAGAACUUCUCCCACUACUCUACCAUUUAGAAAGAGGGAGAGAGAACUUCUCCCACUACUCUACCAUUUAGAGAGAGAGACUUCCUAGCAGCCACAGAUUCCCCAACCCCACUAGAGGCUGUUGUGUCUGGUAGUGUCAGAGACAAUAUGACCAGUCAGAGACAAUAUGACCAGGCAGAGACAGGGCAGAGACAAUAUGACCAGUCAGAGACAAUAUGACCAGUCAGAGACAAUAUGACCAGUCAGAGACAAUAUGACCAGUCAGAGACAAUAUGACCAGUCAGAGACAAUAUGACCAGUCAGAGAUAAUAUGACCAGGCAGAGACAAUAUGACCAGUCAGAGACAAUAUGACCAGUCAGAGACAAUAUGACCAGUCAGAGACAAUAUGACCAGUCAGACACAAUAUGACCAGGCAGAGACAAUAUGACCAGUCAGAGACAGGGCAGAGACAAUAUGACCAGUCAGAGACAAUAUGACCAGUCAGAGACAGGGCAGAGACAAUAUGAC
This is a long non-coding RNA of Oncorhynchus tshawytscha (Chinook salmon), 1015 nucleotides long. The record is from Ensembl. NCBI's taxonomy places the organism in Eukaryota, Metazoa, Chordata, Actinopteri, Salmoniformes, Salmonidae.